Oncorhynchus tshawytscha (Chinook salmon) is the source of this 3679-nucleotide long non-coding RNA. NCBI's taxonomy places the organism in Eukaryota, Metazoa, Chordata, Actinopteri, Salmoniformes, Salmonidae. The record is from Ensembl.
AAUAGCCGUCGUUCCAAGCAUCCUGGUCACACAGGACCAGGUUAAUUACAGUUGACACUGACACGGUAUAUAGGUGCUGUUCCCUGAGCCUCUGAGCAGGUUGGUCUCAAGUUUGACUGUGUACAGUAGGCUACCCACUGAGAAAGACAUCAUGUCUGUGGUGGUAAAGAUACCAGAGGCGGUGGGGAUGGCCCCACUGGUGAUGGGGGGGGGCUGUGAUGCCAACCUGAUGAAAAAUGUGUGGGAGAUCCGAGCCAGAGACUACAACUCCAAAAUCACAAGUGAGCAGGAGAGACAGGAGCAGAGUGCUCUGGCAACACUGCGUUCCAGUUUUCUUGUGGCUGCUUUUGUGGUCCUGUACCUGUUGUGUUGGUGGACCAGUAAUAAAACACCCAGGAUACCCUGAAACGGGCCGGUGGGCGACAGAAGGAGAGCGCUGACCGCCACCGCAGUGAGGCCCCCGUGUUUGCACCGGGGGACCGGGUCUGGCUCUCGACCCAAAACCUGCCCUUCCACCUGCCCUGCCGGAAGCUGGGCCCGUGGUUUGUGGGGCCAUUUAAAGUUCUGAGGAGAAUAAACGAGGAUUAAUGAAGACUGGUAUACACGUAUGACCCUCAAGGCACCACCCAAAAGGGUAAGAAGGAGAGACAAGCCAGAAGAAACCAUUGGUGUUGGUGGCACAGACUUCAAUAACUUCCUGAACCAGCAUAUGAGUUACUCGAUACCAUCUACUGCAUCUUGCCUAUGCCGUUCUGUACCAUCACUCAUUCAUAUCUUUAUGUACAUAUUCUUUAUCCCUUUACACUUGUGUGUAUAAGGUAGUAGUUUUGGAAUUGUUAGGUUAGAUUACUCGUUGGUUAUUACUGCAUUGUCGGAACUAGAAGCACAAGCAUUUCGCUACACUCGCAUUAACAUCUGCUAACCAUGUGUAUGUGACAAAUAAAUUUGAUUUGAAGUCAUGGAAGUGCUCAAAAACACGUCGUAAGCCAGAAGAGGGUGAGACAACACCAGCCGACCGGGGACAGUCCUGGAAGUUUGAGUCAUCAGCCUCACACCAAGGGUAAGAAACACUGGACAGAGCAUGAUUGCUCCAAUAAUAAUGUCAACAAGGUGUGCCUUUGGAAGAUGGAUAGCAGAUUGGUGGAGUCCCAGCACUUUGAGCACAACCUACCCAUGCCUGAAUGGGAAAUGUCCUGGAAGAAGUGCCACAUCAAAUAUAAACCAGAAGCAAAAGAAGGCACAGACAGGGGUUGUUCUCCAUACCAUGAAGGUGGCAGACGUCACUCAAAAGCCAGAAUGUUCAAGAAGCUUGUUGCAUCCCAACAUCACAACAAGGCAUUGUCCUCAUCUGAAUGUACCGAGGGUUGGAAGACAACAAAGCCUUCAAAAGGUGACAAGGCUCAUGCUGAUAAUGGGCCUACUGAUCAAAAGCCAAAGGUAGAGGAAAAAUCAGGACCCCAGUAUGGCGAAAGUUGGAAGUUCAUGAACCACGGACUCCAGAAAUACCCAGCCAACAAAUCACCUGCAGUUUCAACAAACCCAGAAUGGUCCGGGUCUUGGAGGGCCGCUACGAAUCCCCCAAAGGAAGUGAAGAAACCAAAGUCUUACGAGCAUGUUGUCUUCCACGAGGAUUCAAAAGAGUACCCUCUGCACAAGAUCAUAGUGUGUGUUUCACAUGAGCAGAAGUACAGAGAUUUGUGGAGUUCCUUGUUGUGUGAGGAGAGCAAACCCCAUUCUUCUAAAUGGAGCAAGUCUUGGGAAGUAGCAAAUAAUUAGACCAAGCACAGUGCAGGGGCAGACAUGAAGGUAGAAGAACACAAGAAGGUUGAGGAUCACAAGGCUGAGAAGCCCAAGGAUGUCAAGCCGGGGGUUGAGAAAGGCAAACUGAAAUAUGAUGAGAUGCACAAGGCCAUGCACAGCCACAAGGUAAAGUCAAAGAUGGCCAGGUAUAGCAACUUUGUUGGUCCACUAUUGUUCCACCAUGAUAUUCCCAAAGAGUGGCAUGAGGCCUGGAAACUUCCAAAGCCUUAGUGUCAUGGAGAGUGGUUAAAGCAUGAUAUGCCAGAUCCUCAAGAAGCACAUCUUUGCCAGAUUGGAGUGAGUCUUGGAAAUGUGCAAGAACUUACUCCCGCCAAGGCCAGCCCUCAGUGGCUCAAUGUAAAAAGUCCUGGUUCUCAAGAUAUCAGCCACAUAAAGGAAGAGAAUACAGAUUGAAAGAGACAGGUCAUGAAAACCACUCUGUGCACCACCCCAUACAUGAGGUGUUCCAUCUGCCACAGAGGUGUCAUACUCCAAAGAUGCAUGGUCUCUCACACCCCACGGAAAGGAAAAAGGAAAGGUAGGACGGCUGGAAAUGCCCACACUUCAAGCAGCAGAGCCAAAAGUGACCAGUGCUGAAAUUGUAUCCAGAUGGCUCAAGUCAUGGAGAAUCUGCUACACUCAGCCCCAAGGCUCCUGGGUAGAUACUGGAGCCAGCCAGUUCCAACAUGCGGUCGUCUGGUCAAGAAGGACAGGUAUCAGCAACCACCUAUUUGCCAAUCUUAAAACAGAUACAGCCGCAUUUAGAUUGUGGGGCCAAUCGUUUGUGAUCUUGAAGGGAGAAAGCAAGUUAUCAGAGUCAGGCAAAUCAGAAAGAAAGUUCAAGGAGUCUGGUGGUGAUGGUAUGGUGAUCAUGUCAAUGAAGAUGAAAACAAGGAAGUCUAUUUAUUCAGGGAUAGAUAAGGAUAAGAUGUCUGAGGAGAGAUGGAUUGACUGCCAUAAGAUAGCUACACAACAGCCCCAUCCAAAGCGAAAUUAUUGGUUAAAAAUGCCCCAAAAUGCAAAUACAAAGGAAGAACAAGGAUUUGCCCAACUGUGGGAAGACUCCUGGAAGUUCUCAAUUCAAAAAGGGAUCGAGAAGGAAGAAACAGCUUCUGUGUCUCUUUCAGGCUGGGGAGAGGCUUGGAAAUUGUUGCUUGCUCAGUAUCCCCCACAGAAUGUCUCCAAGUGGAAAUACGACAAACUCUUGUGGGGUCUCAAGAUUUCAACAUAGAGCUCUUUAGAACAUAUUCAGGAGAUGAAGGACUCAUGUUUGUUUUGCAGAUGUUCCUUCAAGGAAUCAUCAUAAUUUCUGUACCCCUCCCCCCCCUUCCACAACAGUUUCUUUAAAUCCAGACCACAAAUUACUUACAGAUGAAGUAUGAGAUGAAGGUAGAUGAAAGAAAUGUAUGUGCAAGUUGAAUAUCUCAGCAGAUUGUUGAAAUGAGUUUGAAAAGAUUGGAAGGAUACGGAUGAGUAGAGAGUAGGCCUAGGCAUGCCUUUUGAUGACUAUUCUAUAGCAUUAGUUGAAAGACAUUUACUUGUAGUUUAGAGAAGUUUUUAAAGCAAUUUCGUAGAAUGUAAAAUCAUGUCUUGUACUAUAUAUGCUACAGUGCAAUAUCAUAUAUAUUUUAAUUUAAGCUAUGAAAAGUCAUAAAAAUGUAUUUUCCUUGUCUUUAAUUUUUUGUUUUGGAUUGAAAGUCAUUAUUUUGCUGAAAAACACAAGGCUAAAAAGUACACUGCUCAAAAAAAUAAAGGGAACACUAAAAUAACACAUCCUAGAGCUGAAUGAAUGAAAUAUUCUCAUUAAAUACUUUUUUCUUUACAUAGUUGAAUGUGCUGACAACAAAAUUACACAAAAAUUAUCAAUGGAAAUCAAAUU